CACAAGGCUUCUUGCAUUGAGUAGCUUGCAUUUAAGGCCAUUUGUAGUUUGAAUUGAGGUAGUUAGGGGCGUGCGUGCCUAGUCUUGGGUAAUGGUGGAUUGGUUGAAGUAGGGUUGAAUGUUGGGUUGAGGGUUGUGUGACUUAAUUUUGAUAUAGUCAGCACGGUAGUCAGUGUACAGGUCCUUCUAUCCU
Notechis scutatus (mainland tiger snake) is the source of this 193-nucleotide non-coding RNA. The record is from RefSeq and is a predicted model, not a curated record. Lineage: Eukaryota; Metazoa; Chordata; Lepidosauria; Squamata; Elapidae.